GAUGAACGCUGGCGGCAGGCUUAACACAUGCAAGUCGAACGGGUGUAGCAAUACAUCAGUGGCAGACGGGUGAGUAACACGUGGGAACCUUCCUAGGGGUACGGAACAACUCAGGGAAACUUGAGCUAAUACCGUAUACGCUCUUGCGAGGAAAGAUUUAUCGCCCUUAGACGGGCCCGCGUAGGAUUAGCUAGUUGGUGGGGUAAUGGCCUACCAAGGCGACGAUCCUUAGCUGAUCUGAGAGGAUGACCAGCCACACUGGGACUGAGACACGGCCCAGACUCCUACGGGAGGCAGCAGUGGGGAAUCUUGGACAAUGGGCGCAAGCCUGAUCCAGCCAUGCCGCGUGAGUGAAGAAGGCCUUAGGGUUGUAAAGCUCCUUUAUCAGGGAAGAUAAUGACGGUACCUGAAGAAUAAGCCCCGGCAAACUUCGUGCCAGCAGCCGCAGUAAAAC
Molecule: ribosomal RNA, 454 nt
Filed under: uncultured bacterium
Lineage: Bacteria
Description: bacterial SSU rRNA
Rfam family: Bacterial small subunit ribosomal RNA
Source: RNAcentral